This 502-nucleotide ribosomal RNA is filed under the name uncultured bacterium. RNAcentral's name for it is "bacterial SSU rRNA". It matches the Rfam family "Bacterial small subunit ribosomal RNA", at positions 30 to 520 of the family's 1533-position model. The record is from RNAcentral.
UUUGAACGCUGGCGGCAUGCCUAACACAUGCAAGUCGAACGGCAGCGCGGGUAGCUUGCUACCUGGCGGCGAGUGGCGGACGGGUGAGUAAUGCAUAGGAAUCUGCCCAGUAGCGGGGGAUAGCCCGGGGAAACCCGGAUUAAUACCGCAUACGCCCUACGGGGGAAAGCAGGGGAUCUUCGGACCUUGCACUAUUGGAUGAGCCUAUGUCUGAUUAGCUUGUUGGUGGGGUAACGGCCUACCAAGGCGACGAUCAGUAGCUGGUCUGAGAGGACGAUCAGCCACACCGGAACUGAGACACGGUCCGGACUCCUACGGGAGGCAGCAGUGGGGAAUAUUGGACAAUGGGGGAAACCCUGAUCCAGCAAUGCCGCGUGUGUGAAGAAGGCCUGCGGGUUGUAAAGCACUUUCAGUUGGGAAGAAACAGCAGCCGGCUAAUAUCCGGUUGUCUUGACGUAACCAACAGAAGAAGCACCGGCUAACUCCGUGCCAGCAGCCGUAC